GUCUGGUCCAGCUACUAAAGUAUCCGAAUAUUGCAUCUCCUCGUACUGUUGGUGCAGGGCGUAUUAUGUGACUAGUUAUCUGAACAGUAUAUCAUCUAUAAGUCUGCUAUGUGUAUUGGGUAUGUGCCGUGUUUGAUGUUUCUAAGCAACUUUGUAAUGUGGGAUGACAAUCGGACGUAUGGAAACAACUUGUGUUUGUCUUGAUUUCGCCUGCAAUUUCGAUUCCAAUAAAGAUGUUAUACAUGUUUCUCUAGCACGGUCUUUUUCUGAUAGUUUAUGUUAUUAUAUUUAUUAUUUUCCUUAUUAUUAUAAGAAAAGGGAUAUGACGGGGGUUGAUGAUCUUGUAGUAGUCUGUCUGGGAUAGUGAUUGUGGGGUGCAAUGACUGCAAUAUGCUAGUUCUUUUGACCUCACAACCCUGGUGACCCUGAUCGAAACUGAUUUCUCAUGGAAAGUGAGUAAAAUGUGCAACGAGACUUUUUUUGUUUUCAAAGUGGCUUUAACUAGACUAGGUAUGGCAAGAAAUUAAAUUACACAGUUUAUGAGUAUUAUUCUCAAGAGGUUUUCUUGAGCUUUCUCGGCUUUUUGCCUGCUUCAGUACUCGUGUUGAGAUUCUACACAAUUUUUAGAUUAAGCAUUUUUUCGACCAGGGUUUUUAGACCAACCUUGACUCGUGUUUUUUAACCAGCUCGAGAAUUUUUGUGUUUGAAAACAGUUCAUAUGAAAUGGAAAUUUCUCUCGACACAGAGGAAAUCAUCAUUUGAUCUGGGGUCGGGCCUUGUUUGGCUAAACGGGGGGUCCAAAGAGGAAAUCAUCGACGCAGAUCCUCCCUAGGCAAAGAUAUUAUUUCUGAAUUUAAGUCUGAGCUUUCUCUCAUUUGUCACUGAUAGUGGCAAGUGAGCUCUGUAUUAAACGUUAUCGAGAGUGGGGCCCACGCAUGAAAAGAUCCGAAGCUCCGUGACAGUGAAGUACACUGUGGACUGCUUCAUGUGUGCCACUUGUGGCAGAGACGGAUAACUAUUCCCCCGCUACUUCUUCUUCUUAAUUUCUUGUUUCUUAUCAAGUCACGUGACCGAGAGCAGUAUAUACAUCUUGUAAAAACCAAGACGACAUUUAUUUUUUAUUUUUUUUUAUCGGAGACGACAUUAAUUCUGUGUAUUCUUAUUUCAUGAAAAUCUUAUAUAAUAAAAGUCAAUUAUCUUCUUCUUUUUUUGAGAAAAAAUGAAGCUUUAUUCAAUUCAUACAUGCAAGUACAAAUGACAUAAGUGCGGGAAAGUCAACAAUGAGUCCAUGACAAUAUAAUCUAAUUAGAAAAUCAUGAUCAAAAUCGCAUAUUCGCUACAUGCAAUCUUCAUAAAAAUACAUAUUUAUAACCGAAAGCGGAAGAAAUGGAAAAAUGUCAUCACUUUCUUCUCAAACCUAAUCUAAAGUUUAUUUCAUUAAAAUCUUACUUGAAUAAACUCUAGUAUGACAAAACUCUGAAUCGAUGAAAGAGUACCACACUACCACCUACUAAAAGUGUAAUGCAACUAUUUGUAACAUAAAUGAUCAUGAAGUUGGGCUUGAUUACACAAGGCCCAUUUGUUCUUUCGAACCAAAAUCAAUGAUGUAAAAAACUAUUCCUAAUCAACUACGAGCAACCAACAAUAUCUCCCACUUCCCGAAACAGAAGGGUCGAUUAUUUGACUUGCUUCACAAGAGAGAUGUGAAAUAACCUUCUGAAUCUUGUUGCAACUGCUCCUCCUCCACUAAUGCCAAAAUUUGAAGACUACAUAUCACAUGGUAUCUCUAAAAUCAUGAGAUACAUACUUUCGUUAUGAUUUUUAAUUUCAAAACAAGUCAGAAAGUUAUAUCUAUUAUAGACGACUAAAAUUCAGUAAUCAACACCAACUAAAAAUUUUCUAUAGAUAUUCGUUGUAAAUAGAGAUUCACUCUCACGAACACCUAUUAACCAAAUUUCUUUUAUCAACUUAGAGCGUUUGACGAUCUCUUAGUAAAUAGACCAUAGUUUUUUAAAAAUAGAAAUGAAUUUGCUUGUUUAAAUUUGGAUUCUCAAAAAAUAAAAAAUAAAAAGGGGGAAAAAUUGUUGUCGUCACACAAGUCACGUGACCAGAACCAUAUACGGAUACACACGAAAAAGGUAACAUAACGUCAUAAUACACAAAAAGUCGUACAAACUACAAUCCAACAAAUUCUAGAUCCUUCAUAUCCUAUCCUCACCUCACGCGUCCGUCCCCCCUCCCAUUUCCCCAGAUAUUUGCUCUCCUCCCUCCACCUUAAAUACACUCCUCUCCACUCUCCUCACUCCUCACUCUUCACUCUCAUCUCCUCCUCCCCUUCCAAAUCUUCACACAAAAAAUCCUAAUCCCAAAUCUCUCUCCUACAAAAAUGGCAUCCAUGGCUUCCACACUCGCCGCCUCCUCCCUCUCCACCAAGCUCCACAAGCCAUCUCUCCUCGACACCUCCUCCUCCUUCCACGGCGCUCCCCUCGCCCGCGUCCAGCCCCUCAAGGCCGCCUCCUCCUCCAACGGCCACGGCCUCUCCGUCUCCAUGUCCGCCUCCACCAACGCCUACGAUCUCUCCAACUUCAAGUUCGAGCCUAUCAAGGAGUCCAUCGUCUCCCGCGAGAUGACCCGCCGCUACAUGACUGACAUGAUCACCUACGCUGACACCGACGUCGUCGUCGUCGGCGCCGGCUCUGCGGGGCUUUCCUGCGCGUACGAGCUCAGCAAGAACCCCGAUGUGCAGGUUGCGAUCAUUGAGCAGUCCGUCAGCCCCGGAGGCGGCGCGUGGCUCGGUGGCCAGCUCUUCUCCGCCAUGGUAUUGUAACGCUUUCCUUUUAAUCUGGAUUUCUGGUUUUCGAAAUGUUGUUUAUCUGGAAACUGGAUAUGACACGUGUUUGCAUGCCUGAUUUUACGAAUUAUCCUCUAGAUUAUGAUAUUGUUUUUUUUUUUUUUGGCAAAAUUUUGAAUAUAUAUAGCUGAUAAUGCCAUAAUGGGUUAGGAAUUUCAAUUAAAAUUUAAAAUUUAUAUGAUUGAUUUGUAGUUUGAUAAAUUAUGGAGUGUACACAAAGUUUAGCAGAUUUUUUUUUUUUUUAUCAAACAAACAACUGAAAUACUACUACAGGGAAGACUGAUGCCACUAGACCAAAUGGUACUGGGUCAAAGUUUAGCAGAUUAGUUUGAUCAGAUCCAUGCAAAAACUUAAUUUUAUAAUAACAGUGAUUUGUAUUGUUAGCAUAGAGAUAUAAAAUUUCUUAGUUUUCCACAGAAAAAAAAAUGAAGGGUGGAAAGUUCCUUAAUAUUUAUGUCAAAACUGUUUCCAUACCCCUGAGUAAUUAGUUGUUUUGCUAGCCUAAAUGUGUUCAUUGUGUAAUUGGUAGUUUUCUCCGAAUAUAUACUGUAACUAAAUUAAAAGUUCACUUCUUGUAUUAAUAGGUUGUGAGGAAACCAGCACAUCACUUCCUCAGUGAGUUGGGCAUUGACUACGACGAGAAGGAUGACUACGUCGUCAUCAAGCAUGCUGCCCUGUUCACCUCGACCAUCAUGAGCAAGCUCCUUGCUCGGCCCAAUGUGAAACUCUUCAACGCCGUAGCGGCUGAGGAUUUGAUCAUCAAGGGUGGGAGAGUUGGCGGUGUUGUCACCAACUGGUCCUUGGUCUCCCAAAACCAUGACACACAGUCAUGCAUGGACCCCAACGUUAUGGAAGCCAAGGUGGUGGUUAGCUCAUGCGGUCACGAUGGCCCCAUGGGAGCCACCGGUGUGAAGAGGUUGAGGAGUGUUGGAAUGAUUGACAGCGUGCCUGGGAUGAAGGCCUUGGACAUGAAUGCAGCUGAGGAUGCCAUUGUGAAGCUAACCAGGGAAAUCGUGCCUGGAAUGAUUGUUACUGGCAUGGAAGUUGCUGAGAUUGAUGGAUCUCCAAGAAUGGUAUAUUUCUUCUCAAUGAUCUUUUUAUGUUCCUUGUUAUGUGCUCUCUUUAUGUUGGGCAAUUAUUAGUGCUAAGCUUUACUGCUUUUGCAUAUAUCUAAUGUUUGAUUUCUGGACCAUUUUAGAUAAACAAAUUAGGUACCAUUGUCUUGGAUGACUUUGGCCAUCUCCCCAAAAUUGCUUGAUUUGUUUAUUUUUCUUUUUUCUUUGUGUGUCCUUUUUUGCCAUAAAUUUGGACAAGUUAGAACCCAUUAAGAAUUAAAUUUGCAUGAUUUUUUGGUUUAGGGUCUUUCAGCAAGUUGCUAUGUAUAGAAAAUUGUGAUAUGACAGUGAGUGCAUAUAUUUUGGGGUAGCAGGUGGUUUUAGCAAUGCAAAAGGUCUCUUUAUGAUACCAAUGUCAUAGUACUGCUACCUAGUGUAAUUUUGAUUAUGUGCACUCUGACCAAACUGAGUGUGAUUUCACUCCUACACUAUAGUGGAUACUGCUGUGAGUGUUUUGAGAAUGUGCCAAUAAUACUCCCUCUUUGAUAGUGUUACCAUGGAAAUAUAUGUCCUUUCAAUCAUGAAAGGUGGAGUAGACCCACACUAAUAUCGCACCCUCAAUAAUAGAAGCUAGGAUCCCAAAAACCAUUUUGAUUGCUUACCUUUCCUAAUCCAUAAAAUAAAAUCCCUUUAUUGGAGGGAGGAAAUUUCCACUCUGUUUUGUUCCUGUUGUAUUAUGCACUUGGUUAUACUUGAUUACAAGACUAAGAAGCAAGACUCUGUUUAUACUUGUAUUAUGCACUUGGUUAUACUUGCAGACUCUGUUUUGUUCCUUGUUUUGUUUUUGCCUUCUUUGUUUUCGAAAGGGUUCCAUUACAUUACUUGAUUGUGGUCCUUGGGUGUGGGGUGUGGGCGUGACUAUGACCAAUACUAAUUGCAUUUUGGGCAUUAUUGGUGUCGCAGGGACCUACAUUUGGAGCUAUGAUGAUCUCGGGGCAAAAGGCUGCCCACUUGGCACUCAAGGCACUAGGCCUUCCCAAUGCUCUUGAUGGAUCAUAUGUUGGAGGCAUCCAACCAGAGCUGAUCUUAGCUGCUGCAGAAUCUGCUUCUGAGAUUGCAGAUGCUUAAUUGUGCCGUUGUAGUAGAUGAUGAUGUUUCAAUAAAACUGGGGAAACAAAAUCGAGCAGGAACUAGUAGCGAUUAGGAGCAAGUAAAUGGUGGCCAGUGAUGAUGGUGUGUGGAUGUGACUGGUAAAUUUUGUUAAUAAUGUGGUUGUACUUGUGAUCACUCUGUUGGAAUGAAAAUCACAGCAUGUCUUGCUUUCUGUGGCUCUGUAUCUUGUUUGGUUUCUUCUUUGGAGUCGAAUUCCUAGUAAAUUGCAUUUUCCCCUGUUUACAUUCCCUUAUCCUGUAGGGUGUGUUUGGUUUUGAGUUAUUGGCUGGCUUACCAUUUAAGUUGGUAAGAGCUGAUUUCAUAUUCUAUAUCUAUGAAGUUCAUAAUAUGAACCUGCAGAGCUUGCAUGCCUGUGUAGCUGCUGAGUGGCCCGAAUUCAGAAUUUAGGUGCAGCUAAUAUCAAUUCCUGUUUUUGAUUUGGUGUCUGCCAGUGUUGUAGCGUUGUAGCAACUGAUAACAAUAGGAGAUGAUUUGAAAUUUUGUUCGGUUUUAAAGAAUUUUGAGAAUACAAGGGUAUAUAUGAUUAAAAAAAAAAUAUCAAGAACACAAUAAAAGAUGACUCAAAGUUCAGAUAGUAGAUUGAAUUUAAUCUUAAAAAUAAAAAUCUAACAAUUCCUUUCCUCAGGCCAAAGCAAACCUAAGGACACCAUCGUCCGAAAUCUUAUUUAGGAAGAUCUAAGGCCAUGUUUGUUUCAUGGAAUCAAAUAGUGGGAAAGAAAAGUUAUUAUUUUCUUGUGUUUGGAAACCUAAGGAAAAUAGGGGGAAAGGAAAUUGGUUCUCAGUAGGAAAAUAGAUGGGAAAGUUGUUCCCUUCACCCAACCAAAUGAAUCACUUUCUCUCCCAAUUUCUUGUAAUUAUUACACCAUUUUUUUUUAUUAAAUUGACCCCAUUAAGUUAGUGUUUACCAUUUUUAACCACAUGUUUUUUAAAAAAAUUAUAGGAUUUUGUUUCCUUUCCUUAUGAGUACCAAACACUUGAAAGGAAAAUAAAUAGGAAUUAUAAUUUUCCAUGUUAAUGGAAAAUGCAAAGAAUUUGGUUCCUUUCCCUUCCUUUCUAUGAAACAAACGAGGAUGCCGUCAGGGAAACGAGAAGGACGAAGAUUGCUGAAAUCAAAUCUGCUAUCCAGUGGGAUCCACUUUUGGGGGCUUGAAUGGACCACCUCCUUACCGUUAUAGGUAUCAAGAUCGUACAAGAAUUCACACAGCUCCAGAUAACAUGUUUCAUUCAAGGCGUCCACAUCGAGAUCACUCAAGUCAAUGGCGGAGNNNNNNNNNNNNNNNNNNNNUUUCAUAAUCUUUAAACAUGGGGGAGUGUUCUAGGAUAUUCUCUAUGUGUGCCUUGGCCUUAUGCCAAUAGGAUAUGUAGUUAGACUAGAUCUAUGUAUUCAUAUCCUUACCAUAUUGGUAUUGUGUAAUUCCCUAUAUAAAGGGCACCUAUCAAUGAAUAAGAUGAUGACUCUCUUGCUAUCUCUUUGUCUCUACACUUUAUCCUUCAUCACUAUGAGCCGCUUUGGACAUUGAUCAAAACUAGUGACAUCAAAACAUUAGCUACUAGUUUUAAUUUCAUUACUUUUAGACAUAUUUUAAGAGAAGCUAACUUUGUUCCCAAUGUCAUAACUAAUUAUGGGUAUUCCUGCAAUUUACAUUUCCAGUCUUACUAUUUGACAUUGUAAACAUUGGUUUUCUUAUAAAGAUAGGGUCUGGAUCAAUGGACAUUUUAUUUGACACAAAAUUUGACAUUAUAUGUCAGUCGUUAGAUAUAAAAGCAUCUAAUGGACUAGAUUAGCUAUGGUUAAUGACAUGGAAUUAGAUUUUUUCCUAACAAAAUUAUAAAAUAAAAUAAAAUAAUUAAUUAUCGCCAUAAAAAGAGGAAAAACAAACUUCAUCUUCUGAACAAAAUCUCCCCCAAAUCUAAACCCUAACAAUCAAUAAUCAUUCACUCAGACAUGAAAACUUAGAUCAUGAAAUAGUGGAACACAUUUGCUGGAAGCUAAGUAGAUUCGUGAAUGGUCCCACUAACGUAUAUACACAUGUAUAUAUUGAGUAUAUAAAUAAUUAAAUAUAGUUAUCUGGAUAGUAUUUUGAGUGUUGAUUUAACCCUAAUUCAAUCCCACGCCAUAUUCUUCUGAGGUUUUCUAUAUUUCAUGAUCAUACAUAGAAAUAAAUAGAACCAAGAUCAUGAAAUUAAAGCUCAAUUUCCCCUUCUUAUGUACCAUCAUAUUGCAAUUUAGGUUAAUGAUUUUUCGUCUUUUGGACGUUCUUGUUCAAGGGAUUAGUUUUUCUUCUUUUGUUCUUCCUCUUUUCAUGACGUGAUGUUGUUGAAAUCCGAGUUCAACCUUCUAAUUUAUUUAUUUUAUAGAAAGAUAAUUACUAAUCUAAUUUUAUUUUAAAAUUUUGUUAGGAGAAAUCUUAUUCCAUGUCAUUCACCAUAUUUAAUGUAGUCCAUUAGAUGCUUUUAUAUCUAACGACUAACAUACACAGUAUCAAAUUUUAUGUCAAAGUCUCUUGAUCGGGACCAUAAAGAUAAUAAGCAAAUAACGAAAAGACGACGUCGUUUUCCCCUUCCACCGCGGUGCCAAAUCUCAGGGGCUCGUGAGUCGUCGUCUCUCAGUUCUCCCAGUAAUCAAAUAUUCAUCUCUCCAGAAUCAAACCUCUUUUCAAGUCGAAGAAGACGAUCCUCUGCGUCUUUCUCUCUCUCCCCGCUUUCAAGGUAUGUGCUUAACCCUAAUUUUCCGCCUUAUUCAUCCCAAAAUCUCAAAAUUUAGAGACCCCAAUUCUCCCUUCUCAUUUUCACGGCGGUGUUUGUUGGCAGCCUGAGACAUCACAACGAUGGAGGAAAUGCUCGCCGUGAUCAUCUCCAUGUUCCUCGUCCUGGCCUUAAUUCCACUCUACCUAUGGAAACGCCGUCAGGAUUCUAGGUCGCCCAAAGAUCGCGAAGACGAGCCUCAGGUUUGAUUUUCGGAAAACCUAAUUUUAUUGCAAAUGCGGUUGUUCUAGGGUUUUUGGAAGAUUUAGUAGGGUUUUUGAGUGUUUUUGGAUGUAGUGUGAUUUUUGGUGGUGUGAUUGGUUGUUGAAUUAGGUUGCUCAGAGAGAGGCUGUGGUGCGUCCGGCCGGUAAUCUCCGGAUGCGGCGGAGGCCGGCUGCUGGAGCUAGCACGUCUGCCGCGGCGGCGGCACCUAUAGAAGGUUGAGCUCUUCUGCUAGUGUUAUUGUUGAAAUUAAAUGAAUUGAUAUGUGUUUGUUAGCGGUAGCGUUAAGAAUAAACUUUUGAUAAUGUUUGGUCUACUGUAAACUCUGCAAUUAGAUAAAUCUUUGUGUAGAAGAGGAGUGAUAGGGUUUAAGCUGUUUGGAAUGAGAAUACAAAACUGAGGCACUGAGAGAGAUGUAAGUUGAUGAUGUGCCAGUUAUUCAUUUUGAUAAUGUGUGUAGUUUCAAAGUUUGAACUUGUAGUUGACGAACCUUUUUGUAGUUCAGUUCAGCUAUUGGAUUGGCAAGUUUUCACUUUAAGGAAAAAUGUUUCUUUGUCUACUCUAAAAAUGUUGAGAAUGCGGUAUCAUGUCAGAUGAAGUAAUUAUAUUUGUUUUCUGAUUACAGAAGCUGCUGAUGGAAGUGAUGAUGAAGGUGUUGAGGAUGAGACGUAUGAAGCCAAAGCUUCAAGGAAAAAGGAAAAGAAGCGUCAAGAGCGGGAAGCACAGCGCCAAGUAUUGUUCAUUCUUAUAUUUAUUCAUUUGAGAGAUUACCCUCUCUCCUCUGUUCUGAUUAUUCUUUCUAGUAAUUGUAUAUGUGCCAAGAAUAUCAAUAUGAAAAUGGAAUCAUAAUAUUUCUAACUAAUCAUGUACAAUCACGUAGUUCUUUGGGAUUCUUAACAAGUUCGGUUACUACGCCCUUCUAUAGUAAGUUAUAAAUUUUUGAAACACAACAUAUUUAUGUAAUGAUUUCCAUUGCUCCUUGACGUCUCUUUGCAUUUGAUUUUUUGCUUUGCUUUUCCUUGCAAUUACAGACCAGUAGUUUAUUUUAAUGAGUUCCCUUCCUUUGUUUAAAGGCUGAACAAGCUGCACGGGACUCAAGGCAAACAAAACAAGAUCGCUAUGCGGAAAUGCGAAGGAAGAAAGAUGAGGAGCGGGAGGCACAAGAACGUCAGCUGGUGUGCCAAUUUUUUUUUUUUUUCCUGUUUUGGAAAAUAGAUGUACCUUUGUUUUGUUGGACUGCUAGUUGAAUAUAUGGCCACAUUAUUUUAUAGGAAGAAGAAGCCAAGGCUCUAAAAGCCAGGGAGGAGGAAGCUGCUGCAUUAGAGUUUGAGAAGUGGAAAGGAGAAUUUUCCAUAGAUGCUGAAGGUACUACAGAGAAUGAAGUGCAAGAUGGACAUCAGGAUUUGCUAUCUACUUUUGUGGAAUACAUAAAGGUAGGUUUCAAUACUGUGUAUGUUAACUCAUUUGAAAACUGUGUUCUCUAUUUUUGGCUAGCUCAUGACCUCUGUUGGGUUCACAUGAAAACUAGGGAUGGAAAUUAGCUACUUAGCUGGAAGUGUGCUUUGUCUCAAUUGUCCAAGAUGGUUGAGACAAAGUCAACUCGGUCUUAAGCUUAAUUGCUAAUCUUUUGUAGUCCUGGUUCAGAUUAGGUGAGCCAAGCUCAGAUGAGCCUACUCUGUUUUUGUAAAAUUAAAUUGGAUUCUGAAAUCUGAAUAAUGAAUCAAGCUAAAGAACAUGCAUAACCCUCUAUAACCAAUGUUUUCCCUCAAGAUAGGUCCACUGUUUCUUGAUUUUACACUUCCAAUAAUUGUUUUUGGUCAUUUUAUUACUUGUAUGAAACUUCACUAACCACAUGAAUUACUUUAGUUAACAAAGUGAGCUUCUGGGGGUCUAAGAUUGUUUAAUGUCAUUUGCAGAAACAUAAAUGUGUUCCCUUGGAAGAUCUUGCUGCUGAAUUUAAGUUACGGACUCAGGUAAUUUCCGUACUUGUUUUGCUUGAAUACCAUCUAAAUCAACAGUAAAUUUAUAAACAUCAGUAAAAGUGACACUGCACCCUCUAAGUGUAGGUGUUUUUCUGAUUGCACUAUUGUUUUUUCCAAGCCCAAACUUAUGUUUCAAAAUUAUCUGCAUUACACAAAUUUUCCCUAAGGCCAAACUUAUGUUUCAAUAUUAAUUAUGCAGUAAAUAUUGAUAUUUUUCUUCGAAGUGAUCAAUCAACUGAAAGUUGCUCGCUUCAUAUAAGACAUACUUUCUUUAUGCAAUCGAUUACAUAUCUUGUAUUUUCUUAGAUCCACAUUGUCUUUCAUUAUGCCUGGCUUGGCUUCCUAAUUUUGCAACACAACGUUUGUUUUAUGCAGGAAUGCAUCAACCGGAUCAACUCUCUGGAAAGUAUGGGUAUGUGGCACUUCCAUUUCCUCAAUUGACUUGUUUCACAUAUUGAAAAAUGAUUUCCUUAGGACGGUGAAAUGGCUUUUUUCUUUUGGGGUGCCUUACUGGGAAAUUUUGUUGUCUUUAAUUGUAUUAGGUCGACUUUCUGGUGUCAUGGAUGACAGAGGGAAAUAUAUAUACAUAUCCCAAGAAGAGAUGCAAGCCGUGGCGGACUAUAUUAAGCGUCAAGGGAGGGUUAGCAUUGCACAUCUUGCUAGCAAGUCUAACCAGUUCAUUGACCUGGAGCCAAAAGCCCAGUUCGUUGAAGAAAUCAGUAUUGUUGAGGAAAUUGCUGCCACUUAGAUCUGUUUAGUGUACUAUGUACAUGUAAAGUGCAAUUACAACAUAGUGUAAUGGUCAUCGUGUACACAUGGUUAACUUAACAUAUAACAGAGGGUCAAGAACUUGAGGAGGUAACAUUUUUAGAGAGCUUAUUUUAGAAUGUCUUUGCUGCAAAACAUUGAACUCUAUCCGCUCAAAAGGGUUAUCGUUGAGAACUGGAAAGAUAACGGUGUUUUCUCCAUCCGGUUUGUAGGUCUUAGAAUGAACAGUAGUCAUGCAUUUGACGAUUGUGUUAAGACUAUUGCUUGUAAUGCCUUCCAUAUAUAAGUUCAAGGGAAAAUGUAGAUAAUUUAUGGGAAACUGUCCAAAAACCUGACUGCAACACCAAGUUAACCAAGGUUCAGUCGUGACAACCUUCACACCAAGUUAACUAGGGUUCAGCCUUAGACAACCUUCACCAUCUUUUCCGAUUUCCAAAAAUACGCAAAUCGGAAAGAUGGUGAAGAGGUUGCCCUCAUCACUUUUGAGUUUCUACUUCACUCUAGGGUUGAAACAAAACCCUAGCCUAAUUAAGCCACACAAGUGACAGAACCCUCCAUUGAGCCUUCAACUAAACAACAUCCUUGUAUGGUAGAGCAAGAAGACCUAGAGCAAAAGACGUAAUACGCGGAUCCACACAAGCUUGAGAUUAUGAUUUGACAUUUGUAUACUUGCAGUAUGAUUACAGGGAGGUUGUAAACACUAAACAUGAUGAGUCGAGAAGCCGCUUACAGAGAAAUGCUAGAGGAGUUCAGUGACCGGUCAUCUUGAGGCCAGUACGUAUCUGCAAAAUCACAAAUGUUUUGUUUAGCUUUUCAUUCAACUAUUUUCAUCUACUUGUCAGGUUUCGAUAUUCUUGCAGCAGCCUAGUUUGGGAAAAUGGCGUUACAAGAGCAAAAGCCAAGGCACUUUUCUUUUCGUGAGGGGUGCACGUUCCCUUUGCUUGUCAACAAGCAGUUCGAGCUUAGCCUGGGAAGAUUGUAGAUGACUAUUGCUGAAGCUGAAGAAGCAUGUCAAAAUUGGCAAAUUAAUGAGGGAAACUAUGGAUGGUAUUUUUUUUUUUUUUUUGGGUUCAAGUAUGGAUGGAUUUGUUCGUCGACAAAUGCAGGCCCGAGAGAAAGAAGUGCAAAAUGUGCCUGUUUGUACAUGACGAUGCUAGAGAGAGCCAUGCAUGCUUUGGUUUUUGUUCAAUUAUUUGGACGACCAAACAGAUGUAUUCAGUAACUUUCCAAUACUGAAGUCUUGAUUCCUUUACAGUUUUGUGGCUCUACAAUGUAGUCGAAGAACUAGAAACAGAAUGCCUGCAGUUAGAUGUACAAACAUACUCCAUCCUUUCAAUUCAAUUCAUUUCGAUUCUUUAGCAGUGAACUUACUUAUCAUGGAAUAAUGAACGUUUCUGCUAACUCUAGUUGAGAUAUAUUAGAUGUACAAACGUACUCCAUCCUUUCAAUUCAAUUCAUUUCGAUUCUUUAGUAGUGAACCUACUUACCAUGGAAUAAUGAACGUUUCUGCUAACUCUAGUUGAGAUAUAUGCAUGGCUCCUGUUUUCGUAGCCUUCAUGGAAAGGGCUGGCUUUGGUUCAAGCUAGUCACAGGUUCUAGAUACCACAGAGACCAAGUGUGGCAUAAAGCUUGGUAUAUCUCAGAAUGUGGGAGGAAAAUAGGACUGCUUUUCUCAUAAAUUUAAAAGUGACAUCUAUAUGGUUACAUAAAAUGACUUUGCUCUUUGUUUUUUUUGGCUGCCAUUUUCUUUUUCUAAAAAUUCUUUUUAUUUGUUAUUAAGGUUUCUUUAUUUUGCCAGACGCACCAUAGCAAAGCGACGUAGCAGUGGCACCAAUGGUUAGAAGAAAGACUUCGUCGUUUUACUAAGUUAUGGAACAGUUUUGCCAGCUCAAACCAGCUGAAGUCCAAACCAGAAAUUUCCUUUUUUUGUACUCAGCAACAAACUCGUUAACAAACAGUGCAACUCACACAGGGAAUAAGGGUCGUCGUUUGAUAACAGUCUUUUGCGUCCAUGCUAUUUACGUCUUGUUUUUUCCUACAAUGUCUACCAUGAAUUAACCAACACUUUGGCUUUAAAGCAUGGCUGCCAAUAUUGCAAGCAAACCGAAGCUCGCGCUAAAACUAGAGGAAGAGAAUUGAGCUUGACCCAAUCUUCCAGUGUCUUUCUCCCUUCAAAAAUUUAUACCAUCCCAUCUCUCUCUCCUGUGGGGUUUUACACAGACCUCCCCGGCAUCCCCACACGCCGCGUUCUCGCGCGGCCUGUGCUCAAUCAUUCUUUCUUUUUCUGAUAAUCCAAUUAGCCACAACCCUGAAUAAUAAGACGGUUCUUCCAAACACAAAUAAACAUAGAGCCUUUCCGAUACAUCUGAAAACAAUGGAAACAAGUUCGAGCAUGAAGAUCCCAUGGAGCUUGUUGUUUCUAUUGUUUUUAGGGGUGUUUGCUGCUAGGGUUGAAGUUAGUUACGGACAAAAAGCAGCCAAACUAGGAGCAGGAGCAGGCGCCAGUGGAGGUGGCGACGACGGAGGGGACGGAGACAAGCCGGCUCCUCCGCCGGAGCAAGAAGACUGCGACGGCAUCUUCUUGACCUACACGUUCAUCUCGCGCGAGAAGGAAUAUCCGCGCAAGAAGAACGUGUCGGCGCAAGCGUGGGCGUUCACGUCGGAGGCGAGCAUCUUGAACGCCGGGACCGAGACGCUCAAGGCUUGGAAGAUGUACGUAGGGUUUCAGAAUCGAGAGAUAUUGGUGUCGGCCGACGGGGCUGUGUUGGUGGACGGUAGUGAUUUUCCAGCCUCCGUUGGGAAAAAUGGGACGUACCUUUCAGGAGAUCAACAAACCGACUUGAAGAACUCCGUCGAUACGGCCGGGGAUAUCGAACAGAUUCAGGCAAAGAUUGCUUUCAAGGGAACACAGUUUGGCCUCCCGGCCAAGGCAGUACCCAUGCCCAAGACCAUUCGCCUCGUCAACGACGGAUACAAGUGCCCUGCACCUCGUAUUCGUGGUACGUUCACUGACAUCUGGAUGCAUGCAUGCACACAUAAUCAUACAACAAACAUACGUGAAUGAUGAAGAUGAGAGGACAUAAUACAAAUACCAUGAUGAUCAUUACAUAUAAAUAUAAAUUGUUAUGAAUCGUUACGACUGCACUAUGCACUUACACAUUGUGCGUUUCUGGAUUGAUGAUUUAUGUUGUGUUUGAUGGUGAUCCGAGCAGGAAAGACAAACAUGUUCGUAUGCUGUGUACCGGACCCAAAGUUCAAGGUGAAGAAAGACGAUAAGGACUCCAAAUUCUUGCCUAGACAGAAUGGUGACCUCUCCAUCACAUACGAUGUGCUGGAUUCUUAUUCAAACAACUAUAUGGCUCAAGUCACCAUCGACAACUUGCACCCACUCGGCCGUCUUGACCACUGGAACUUAACCUGGGAAUGGCAGAAGAACGAGUUCAUCCAGACCAUGAGAGGCGCCUAUACUCACAAGAAGGACAUGUCCGAGUGCCUCUACGGCCCGGCCGGAAAAGCAUACAAGGACAUGGACUUCUCUAAGGUCAUGAACUGUGAAAAGAAGCCUACCAUCACCGACCUCCCACCGACGAUGAAGGAUGACGAGAAGGUUGGAAAGCUGCCCAAGUGCUGUAGAAACGGCACCAUCUUACCGACUAUCAUGAACGAGACGCAGUCACAGGCACAGUUCCAGCUCCAAGUCUUUAAGCUUCCACCUGAUGAUAAUAGAACCGCUCUCACUCCACCACAGAAGUGGAGUAUCUAUGGCCCUGUGAACCCUAACUACGUAUGUGGACCUCCGAUCAGAGUCGCACCGACUCUGUUUCCCGACCCGAGCGGCCUCCAGUCUACGACAGCUGCAGUUGCAUCUUGGCAAGUGGUACGCAUUUUUCACCAAAUUUGUAUACCAAAUAAUGUUUUGAUGCACACCAAUGCAUAUCAACUGUGUUGUUCUUAAAAUUGAUGGUGUUUCCAAACAGGUAUGUAACAUAACCAAGCCAAAGGUGCCUCGCUGCUGCGUUUCGUUUUCCGGCUACUUCAGCGAGUCAAUUGUGCCGUGCAACACUUGCGCUUGUGGCUGUAAAGAAGAUGAGAACCCUAACUGCGACCCAAGAGCCAAGGCAAUGCUUCUACCAGCAGAAGCACUCCUUGUGCCUUUCGCCAACAGAACUCAAAAGGCAAAAGCGUGGGCCAAAAUCAAGCACUUUGACAUACCCAAAAAGCUUCCAUGCGGAGACAACUGUGGAGUUAGUCUCAACUGGCACAUAGACUCGGACUACCAGAGUGGAUGGACAGCUCGUCUAACUCUCUUUAACUGGGGGAAGGAACCAUUUCAGGAUUGGUUCACGGCAGUAGAAAUGAACAAGGCUUUUCUAGACUAUGAAAAUGUGUACUCAUUUAACGGAACGAGAAUGGCCAAGCCGAAAAACACCAUCUUGUUCCAGGGUCUGAAAGGUUUGAACUACUUGAUAGAAAUGAGAAAUGCGACCAACCCAAAAGACCCUCGGGUACCCGGAAAGCAGCAGUCGGUUAUUUCUUUCAAGAAGCACCACUAUCAUGGUAUUAAUAUAAAGGCUGGUGAAGGUUUCCCAUCAAGAGUCUUGUUCAAUGGAGAGGAGUGCUCACUUCCUAAGCGAUUCCCCAACGGCGCAGAUCAUCAGGCCAGUAGUAAUGUCCUCCUCAUCUUGUUCGUUGCAAUUGCGAGUUUUGUGUUCAUGACAGACCGCUUCCACUGAUCGAUGAUCGGCAAAAGGUUCUUGAUUCCGGUAAUUCUAUGAUAGACUCACCAAAUUAUAAGCUUAUUUGCCAAAUGAUGUGAUAAUGUGUUAGUGUUUGUGUGUAAGGUAAUAUCUAGCUUGUUAGAAAUAAAUGAUCGAGGUCCAUAAGGGAUCUAAAUUUGAAUAAAUAUAUCAAAACACUCCCGCAUCAUUUGGUAAAUUAAUUGAAUUUUGUUGUAUAUAGAGCUAGCUAGGAAAGUUAGUGUUAAUUUUAAUGAAUGAAUCAAGUGAUAUUUUUCUUCAUAUAUAUGAUACUAUCAUGGAUGUUCUAUCUCAGCUGCAAGAGGAACGAUGUUUAUGCAGUCACGCAGAAAAAGAACUGAGUGAUGCUUGCUAGCUACCAAGUCGAGUACGUCCCGGCCAUAAGCCGAUGAGGAAGAUUGUAAUUAGUGAAAACAGACGAUAUAUGAAAAAUUUGUAAAAUUUUUUAGCUACUUGCAGUUACUAUAUACAACUGAGCAGACUCACUUGGUGAUUUUGUUUUUAGCAUUAAUUUUCUGGAUAUUCAUAGUCCACAACUCUUAAUGUUUGUAAUGUUAGUUCCAAAUGUUAAAGUAUCAAGUUGGAGAUAACAUAUGGCAAACCAAUAUCAAACUUGGGACAAAUUCCAAUGAAUUGAUCGAGGAUCCUUGUGUUUUAAUAUAAGAACGUACAUGCAGCUGGGACUGCAUUUUUUAGCAUCUCUAGAUGUAGCAAUGUGAAGGAUUAGGGUCCUCUCCUUGGUUGCAUCCAUCCUUUUAGCUUAUUCAAAGAAAGCUGGCCUGGAAUAGUGUGAUUCUCCUUUUUUUGGUGUCCACUAUUGAAACACAUAAGGAAAGCAUCCUUAUCGAAUAAGACUGUGAUCCUCAUCACUUUGUAACCGUAUAGGCAGUGAUAUGCUUUAGCAUUUUUCCUUAUCAAAUCCUACAAGUUAGGAAGCUGUUGUAUAUAUAUUGUAUCAUUGUUGACAUAUCAAUACAAGAAAUCAUUCUACCAAAAUAUCUUUUAUUAUGGUAUCAGAGCCUUCGUGCUCUUGAGACCUCCCUUUUCCACAAACCCUAGAUCGACAAAAACCCUGCAAACAUAAUGACAGGAGAGCUUGUAAACACCGAUGCAAAACCCCAAUCGGAUGCAACAUCGUCUCAGAAAGCACCGGCAUGGGAGAACUCAAACCAUCCUCCAUUACCCUCUCUGAACAAGACUUACUCUCUUGCUCUUCGACAUGAAAAGCAGGCUGCAGUUGCUACUGGCAAGGUUGCCUCCUCUUCCGAAUCAGCAGCAGCGUUUCAUGUUGCCUCACAGGCUGUUGAAAGCACGGAUGCUUACGUGCGCAAGACAGAACAGCGUACCAACACUGAAGAAAAGAUCCGAUGUGAGAAGUGUGAUCGUACCAAUCACACAACCAAGAACUGCAAAGCACACUUACGUUGCACCUAUUGCAACUGGAAGGGCCACAUAUGACAAUUGUCGGAGAAGAAAGGCCGCUAUAAAUGGAGAAGGCACAAACAAAGCCACAAGCAAUCAUGUUGCAGCGGUUUGUGAUGCACAAGCAGGAGCAGGAACGAUCACCGGUUUUUCGUUCUCAAAGAAAGAUUGUACGCGUCUUAUCGAGCUGUUGCACCAAACCAGAACAGGAUCCUCACACCAAGCUGGUAACAUCUCAAACUAUGAGGAACUUUCGGGUAAGGCUGCAAUCCUAGCUAAUAAUUGUUGUAAAACACCAACAUGGCUCAUAGACAGUGGUGCAAGCGAUCACAUCGUUUGUAACACUCAGUUUUUCACUAAUAUGCGGCCUGCCAUCAACUAUACCGUGAAGCUCCCAUCUGGUUCAUCUGCAGCCGUGACACAUAUUGGGACAAUAAUGUUCUCAACAUGCUUUAAACUUGAGAACGUAUUAUGUGUCCCAUCAUUUUAUCUUAAUUUGAUAUCUGUAAGCAAGUUGGCAGGAGAUUCAUUCUCUGUAACAAUAUUUCUAAGACAAGUUUGUGUCAUACAGAAUAUAGGGACAAUAAUGUUCUCAACAUGCUUUAAACUUGAGAACGUAUUAUGUGUCCCAUCAUUUUAUCUUAAUUUGAUAUCCGUAAGCAAGUUGGCAGGAGAUUCAUUCUUUGUAACAAUAUUUCUAAGACAAGUUUGUGUCAUACAGGACCUUCGAUUGGGGAGGAUAAUUGGGAUGGGAACUAAGAGGGAGGGAGUUUACUGCCUCGAUACACACUAAAAAGGAACGUGCAAUGCGAGUCAAGUUCGAACACCAAGUCUCUGGCAUCAACGCCUAGGUCACCCAUCUCAUCGAGUUUUAUCAUUAUUUCCCUUUUCCAAAGACACAUCUUGUGCGCCAAUUUGCCCUUUGGCUAAGCAAACUAGACAGCCUUUCUCUUUGAGUACUAGUUUCAGUAAUGUUUGUUUCAAGUUAAUUCAUGUUGACAUAUGGGGUGGUUACCAUGUUCCUUCACUUACCGGGGCACAAUAUUUCUUGACCAUAGUUGAUGAUUAUUCUCAGGGCACAUGGGUUUACUUAAUGAAACACAAAUCCGAAGCACGUCUCCUUCUUGUCAAUUUCAUUCAAAUGGUCGAAACUCAGUUUGAUAAACAAGUCAAAACAAUUAGGAGUGAUAAUGGUCCUGAAUUUGUCAUGCCUGUUUUUUACUCAUCCAAGGGUAUAGAACAUCAAACAAGUUGUGUCAAUACUCCCCAACAAAAUGGCGUUGCCGAAAGGAAACACCGACAUCUUUUGAACGUUUCUUGUUCACUUCUUUUUCAAGCCAACCUUCCAAAACAUUUUUAGGGUGAUGCAAUAUUAACUGCAUGUUAUCUCAUUAAUCGGACACCUACUCCUCUCUUGCAAGGUCAAACUCCUUUUGAAAGAAUUUUCUCAAAGAAGCCAAGUUAUGAACAUUUACGAGUCUUUGGUUGUCGAUGUUCCGUUUCUACACAUCCUUCCAAGCCUAGUAAAUUUGCUCCCCGGUCAAUUGAAUGCAUUUUUUAGGGUAUCUGCAAGGUAAAAAGGGUUACAAGGUCUAUCACUUGAAAGGCAAAAAAACCUUGGUAUCGCGUGAUGUGCUCUUCUUUGAAGAUAAUUUCCCUUACACUACUCUUGUCACCGAUCCUUCUGAUUCAUAUCCAAGAUAUUCCUCAAAUCCCUCAAUCCUCACAGAAGAUCUCGGCAAUCCACAUUCACAUUUCAAAACGGCUGAAAACCCUAGCUUGUGCACAUCAUCAGAAAAUUCUGAAACUGCCUUUAGGGUUUCUACAGGUGACACUUCUAACCCUAGUAGGAAUUCUCAUGACAUUCAAACUUCCUCGGUAGAAUCAUCUGAUAGUUCGGCCACUCCACAUAUCACGCAGAUACCUAUCACAUCUUCCGCUGAAAAUUCAAAUCCAACCACCAUCACAUCUUCUGAUUCAAAUCAAACACAACUUCCUUUUCCAAACACAACUCUACCACAUACAUCGAGUCCUUCUGCCUCCAUUGAGUCAAAUCCGUCAAUGUCAUCACCAAAUCCUCUCCGUCGUUCAACUCAUCCGACAAAGGUUUCUACCAAAUUGCAUGACUUUCACAUCGAGGCAGCUCUCCCCUCAUGUACUGUUUCAACGUCCUCUUUAACCGAGGUCAACACUUCAGGUACGGCUCAUACAUAAGCCAAUGUAAUUUCAUAUGAUAGACUCUCUACUCCUCACCGAGCAUUUACUGUUGCUCUAACAUUGCAUCGAGAGCCUACAUCUUAUUCUCAGGCCGUCCUGGAUCCCAAUUGGCGAGAGGCCAUGCACAAUGAAAUUCGUGCCUUGGAAGCUAAUCAUACUUGGAGCCUUGUGUCACCACCUGCUAAUAAGCGCCCCAUCGGAUGCAAAUGGGUAUACAAAAUCAAGUACAACCCCGAUGGCAGUAUAGAGAGGUACAAAGCUUGCCUUGUUGCUAAAGGAUAUAGUCAGGUGCAAGGGAUUGAUUAUCAAGAAACAUGUGCUCCCGUUGCCAAGCUAACAACGGUAUGUGUCCUCCUCAGUUUGGCAUCCAUGCAUGGUUGGCAUCUUCACUAACUUGACAUUAGCAAUGUCUUCUUAAAUGGUGAUUUGUACAAAGAAGUUUACAUGCAACUUCCUCUUGGAUUUGGAGGAAAGGGGGAGACUCGGAUAUGCAAAUUACACAAAUCACUCUACGGUCUCAAACAAGCUUCAAGGCAAUGGUUCAUCAAGUUGUCUAAUGAAUUAGAGGCAGCUGGUUUCAAGAGGAGUUGGUCGGACUACUCUCUUUUUGUCCGUGAUUACAAAGGCAGAUUCACUAUCCUCUUGGUUUACGUUGAUGACAUAAUUCUAGCAGGCAACAAUCUAGAAGAUAUCACGACAGUGAAGCAAUUUUUAGCCAGCAAAUUCAAGCUAAGAGACAUGGGAGUGUUGAAAUAUUUCCUUGGAAUCGAAGUGGCCAGGUCUAAGCAAGGCAUUGUUUUGAGCCAAAGAAAGUAUGCUUUGGAGAUAUUGGAGGACUCAGGCUUUCUCAGAGCAAAACCCUCAAAGUUUCCCGUCGAAUGUAACACUGCCUUGACACAAGAUGGCGGCAAGUUGCUUAGUGAACCAGCUCAAUAUCGAAGACUGGUAGUAGACUCAUCUAUCUUACCAUAACAAGACCGGACCUCGUCUAUGCAGUGCACAUCCUCAGCCAAUUCAUGGCAAAACCGAGAGAACCACAUCUUGAGGCUGCACAUAGAGUAUUGCGGUACUUGAAGCAAACACCAGGGCAAGGUUUGCUGAUGCCCUCUACUGGUACACUACAAUUAAGAGCUUAUAGUGAUGCAGAUUGGGCUCGUUGCAAGGAUACUAGAAGGUCAGUUACUGGUUAUUGUAUUUUUAUGGGUAAUGCACCUAUUUCUUGGAGGACAAAGAAGCAAGGUAUUGUUUCUAGAUCAAGUGCAGAAGCAGAAUAUCGAUCCAUGGCUUCUACUUGUUGUGAAGUUACAUGGUUGCAAAACAUAUUGAAGGACCUAAAUGUCACAGGUACGCAACCAGCAUUACUUUUCUGUGACAGCCAAGCAGCUUUACAUAUAGCAUCCAAUCCAUUUUUUUAUGAACAAACAAAGCACAUAGAGAUUGAUUGUCAUGUUGUUCGUGAAAAGAUACAAAGAGGUUUGGUUAAGACUGCCUACAUUCGGACACAGGAUCAACUGGCGGAUUUGUUCACAAAGCCGAUUAGUUCACAGCAGUUUACGGAGCUGUUAAGUCUACUUAACAUAUACUUUAACUUGAGGGGGAGUAUUGAAACACAUAAGGAAAGCAUCCUUAUCGAAUAAGACUGUAUGAUCCUCAUCACUUUGUAACCGUAUAGGCAGUGAUAUGCUUUAGCAUUUUUCCUUUGUCAAAUCCUACAAGUUAGGAAGUUGUUGUAUAUAUAUUGUAUCAUUGUUGACAUAUCAAUACAAGAAAUCAUUCUACCAAAAUAUCUUUUAUUAUCCACCAAACGACUCUUUCUUGUCAUCGGGAUCUUUGUUGGAGUUCUCUUUAUGUUGAAACUUUAGCUGGUUUGUGAGUGAAGAAAUCUCCCUUUCUUCGAGGGUCUUGUGUAGUUCUGUAAGUUUUCGAUUGCCUCGGUCAUUUAGGUCAAUCGUUCUUUGGUUAUAGUGACUUCAGUCACCAUGCCUGCAUAGCAAAAGAAGCAUCGUCUGGAAACAUUGUCAUAAUCUCUUCCAUUUUGAGUCAUCGCCCCUUGACUCCUUGAGUCGGGUAAUGAAUGAAGGAGACUGUCGUCUUCUUGAGUCUGUUGCCCCCAGCGACAUAAAAGAGAAGGUCACAGGCGGCUAUCAGACUUAUAUUGUGUGUUGUUUGCACAAUCAGACUUAUCAGUAUUGUGUUGUUUCUUCAACACAUUUUGAACGAUUUGAUCAGUUGGUUGUCUUUGAUGUAGCUGCCUUGUUUGUCUCAUUCACUAAUGUAAAUUGAAUCGUCUUCAAAACCAUAUUCAGGAUUGAAGUUAGCAGCUUAAAGUUGUUGAAGGAGAUGAAAGGCAUAGAUGUCCCAGUGUAUACGCAUCAUCUUUUUUUCCUCUCAUAAUAUCAUUACAUAAAACACAAGAUUACACAUAACAUAGGCCCUCUUGAUGGUUUACAAAUUACAGGCCUAUAAAGAAUGUUAUCAAUAUACAAAUAAUUGGGAUCAACUUAAUAAACACCGCUUGCUUUUGUGGCAACAUUGAGGUUGGACCAACUCUGCAGCUCUGUAAACUCUAAACCGAGACUGGGAAAAAAAAGUAAAGAUCCCUUAACAAAGAAUGCAAAGAACAUUCCUUCUUGAUGUGCCAAAGUUUUAUGUGGAUGCUGAUGCUAUGUUUUCUGAGCCUGCAGUAUCAACACAAAAUUAUCAGUAUAAGUUACAGUACCAGGACCAUGAAUCAGCUCGUACUGAGCAUAACAAAUACAGAGAUAAAGACAUCCUGAAAUUUGAUAGCAUUGCCAUCAAAUACAAGAGUGCUAAAAAAUGCAGUACCUUUUUAAGAUAUUUCUUGUGAAGUUUCAUUGCCCCACUGCAAGCUUUUUUGGCAUCUAAAUUUCCAGUUAUGUCAUUCAAUAUCUGCGGAGAGUCAACAGACAGGAAAAGUAAACAAGGUAAAGUUCAUCUCCAGAAUUGAACAACUCGACUCAAUAAGCAUAAAAAAUGCUUCACAACUGCUUUGAGUACUCCAGAAAAUUCAAAAUUAUGUGGCGUUUCUUAUAUAUGGGUCUUUCAACGUAUACUGAUCAUCUGAAGAUGAAACUAUAGCAUCAAAUUUUGUUCAGAUCAUGUUUUAACUACUGCUGAUGAUAUUAGAUAGUUAGAAGGAUGGCUAAUUAACUGACUGCUCAAGUUUUAUUUUUAAGUCAUCAGAUUAGACAUCAAACUUGAUGCAACUUUAAAGCGUCUUAGUGACUCCUAGUUUGGAUACCAGAACCGAAGGCUAUGGGGCUUGCUUACUCUCAUUUCACUCACGUUCUUUGUUCUUCUCUUUCAAAACAACUUUAAGAUUUCCAAUUCAAAUCUCUAAUUUAGAAUGGGUCCUUAAUAACUGGUGAAUGAUUGACUUCAUCAGUAGCAAGCUCUGACUUGCUGUUCCCUAUGUUUUCUACUUAAAUUAUGUAGAGUCCCUGUCAAAUGAAGCAGCAAAUUGAAGGUUCCCAAGGCAUUGCAAUUCAUCAAUUCAUAAUCUAACCUUAACAACAUCAUCGAGACCCCGAGCUUCUGUCAGUAAUUUUGAGCUCUUAUCUUUUAAGACACUGGCAACAAGGAAAAUGGAUAUUGGGAGAGGUGCUUCUGAACCUUUCACUUUCAUAUUUUCCCUCUCAUACUUCCCAUAAUGACGUUUCGACUUUGAUUUCCCUUUAGAAGAUCCAGAUCCCUCAGCCCUUUCACCAUCAGUAUCAGAAUCUUCAUAUACACUGUACAAGUCAGGGUCAUACUCAAGAGCCCACAUCAUCUGUUAGAAUUGAGGAAAAAAAUAUUACUAAGGCAAAUAGAGAUACGAGGGUUAAGAUGCAGGAAAACAGAUGCACACUAGUUCAUCAUCAUGCAUAGACCAUGUGCACAUACACACCUACGUAUGCAUGUUACAUAUAUAUAACAUGGAUAUAUGAUGAUGACAAAUACAGUAUUCCUUUUUUUUUUUCCAUGAAUAAUGUAAUAUCAAAUUGAAGUCUUGCCUCCAUUCUAACUUUAACCUGAUCCAGUUAUUUCCCAAGUUAAUCGUUUCAAUACAAAAUGCCUGUGAUAGCUUCAAUUAUUUUCCCUUCUAAGCAUUUGCCAAUUAAAGUAAUAAUCUUGUAUCUUUAGCUUAGAAAAGAUUGCCCACUACAAAUGAUUAUGCAGAAAUUUGAAAUCAAAGGAAUCUAGAAGUGGAGGUAAGUUUUGACAAACUGGCAGUGCUAAAUUGUUGCAAAUAUUUCCUGAACAUAUAAUGCACAAAUACAAAGACCAUUAAAGAUAGACAGCUGCUUUUAGAAUUCCUAGAAAAUCAUUUUGCACUCUAAAAAUCAAUAUUUUAUUAUUUCCAUAGACUUGAAGCAUAAGUGAAGAGGAGAGACAGGGUGCUAUUUACAUUUCCCUAAAAAAAAUUUGCAUAAAAAUGCACAAUACCAAUGCAAUCUCACCUCCCAAAGGUAUAAUGAAUCACAAAAAGAGAAUUCCCGACGGAACAAAACCAUAAGCAUCCGAAAAGCGAAUAAAUAAUCACCUCCACCUAGUGUCUCUGUGAAAAAAAGAAAAGAAAAAAAGAGAGCCUUUUUUGUUAAUAUCUUUACUCGAAAAUGCACAAAAAAGUAUGGUAUACACACAAACAGACAAUUUUAAUAAACAACUCCCCAGCGAGCAAGAAAGUCGGGCUCUCCAAAUGAUAUAUCAAAAGCCAAGAGUUGAUAUCAUAUUAUGAUUAAGUACAUCUAACAAAAGAACCUCAUAAAGUAACAUUGGUGAAGCAUAAAUUUCACAAUUAGCUUGGGAAGGAAAAAAGCUUUAUACGCUGAACUAUGACAUAAAUAUCAAGCGUAGUACCAAAUGUGAAGCAAAUUUCAAUCAAUACCUAAGUGCUGAUGAAGUUUUGGAUCAAUGACUUGAGUGAUUGCCGCCAAAUUACUUAGUUGUGCCUCCACCCCGACAGAGUUAUCAGUACAUCUGAAAUUUCCUCGCUUUAAAUUUCAAAUACACAAGUCAUAAGAAACUGGAAUCCAUGUUGAUAAGCAAAAAAAAACAGUAAAUAUCUUGACAGAAUGAGGGAAAACCAUGAAAACUUCAAAUAGAAAGAUUACAGCUACUUUCAAUCAAACAUUGAUUUCCUCAAUUAACUUCAGGAAACAAUAACCUAGCAGGCCCUUUUCCCCAAGACAAGCAUAGAGAAAAGGCCUGUGGGAUCACUUACACACACAAGUGCGUGCCUCACUAAGUAAAGAGCAGGCCAUACUUUAUGAUUGACUGAAAGCAUUAGGUAAUCACCACAUGCUAUGUUACUGGUUUAAUAUAAUACCAGAAUGAAUAUAUAAUUCCACAGGAUCAGUUCAAAAAGUUACCAGUCUGCGCAUCAAACGUUCAAAACACCAAAAUGCAUCAGCUUCAUCAUCGAGAAGGAUAAUCAUGGGGGAGCAAAGAUCACUCAUUCCUGCUCAACAUGGAGAUAAAAUUCAGCAUUUAUGACAAUCAUUUUGUGGAAAAAAAAAUCAAAGAAAUUUUUUCAACUCCAAGUGUGUAGGAAGGAACCCCAGAAAUCAACAUAAUGGAUAUUUUAAUCAAGAUACAGGAGUAGCAAGCUAAUCAUUCAUAUAUCAACGACCUUGACAGUAGCCAACAUCUGUAUCUAUCCAAGCAUAAACAGCUAGAAUAUCCCAAAGUUUUGAUAAGUUUUCUUGCUUCUCGUAAAACACUAGCGUCCUGUCAGUCCGAACCACGUCAAGCCCUGGCAUAUUUACACAGCCAAAUAAAAUCUUAUUUACUGUGUAAACAGAAUUUUGAGAAAUCUAUAAUUCAUCAGGUAUCAUCAGUAUGUCACAUAUAGGGCGUAUGUGAUGUAAAGAGUUGUAAACCAAUGCCACAAGUUAUAUUUAUCAAAAUAUGUGAAGAAAUGUCGAAAAUAGCUAACCGAUAAAAGAAAAA
RNAcentral lists this long non-coding RNA (25144 nucleotides) under Fragaria vesca (wild strawberry). RNAcentral describes it as "long non-coding RNA (FVES_LNC001345)". The record is from RNAcentral. Lineage: Eukaryota; Viridiplantae; Streptophyta; Magnoliopsida; Rosales; Rosaceae.